RNAcentral lists this ribosomal RNA (440 nucleotides) under uncultured bacterium. Its description in RNAcentral is "partial 16S ribosomal RNA". It matches the Rfam family "Bacterial small subunit ribosomal RNA", at positions 338 to 795 of the family's 1533-position model. The record is from RNAcentral.
CCUACGGGUGGCAGCAGUGGGGGAUAUUGCACAAUGGGGGAAACCCUGAUGCAGCGACGCCGCGUGUGGGAAGACGGUCCUCUGGAUUGUAAACCACUGUCCCCAGGGACGAAAAUGACGGUCCCUGGGGAGAAAGCUCCGGCUAACUACGUGCCAGCAGCCGCGGUAAUACGUAGGGAGCGAGCGUUGUCCGGAUUUCCUGGGUGUCAAGGGAGCGUAGGCGGGGAUGCAAGUUGGGUGUCAAAACUACCGGCUCAACUGGUAGUCGCACUCAAAACUGCAGCUCUUGAGUGAAGGAGAGGUAGGCGGAAGUCCUAGUGUAGCGGUGAAAUGCGGAGAUAUUAGGAGGAACACCAGUGGCGAAGGCGGCCUGCUGGGCUUUAACUGACGCUGAGGCUCGAAAGUGUGGGGAGCAAACAGGAUUAGAUACCCUUGUAGUC